CCUACGGGAGGCAGCAGUGGGGAAUAUUGCGCAAUGGACGAAAGCCUGACGCAGCGACGCCGCGUGAGGGAUGAAGGUCUUCGGAUCGUAAACCUCUGUCAGCAGGGAAGAACGGUCACUGUGCUAAUCAGCAGUGCAUUGACGGUACCUGCAAAGGAAGCACCGGCUAACUCCGUGCCAGCAGCCGCGGUAAUACGGAGGGUGCGAGCGUUAAUCGGAAUUACUGGGCGUAAAGCGCUCGUAGGCGGUAUGUCAAGUCAAGGGUGAAAUCCCCGCGCUAAACGUGGGAACUGCCUUUGAAACUGGCAAACUGGAGUGUGUGAGAGGAUAGUGGAAUUCCAGGUGUAGGAGUGAAAUCCGUAGAUAUCUGGAGGAACAUCAGUUGCGAAGGCGACUAUCUGGCACAUAACUGACGCUGAGGAGCGAAAGCGUGGGUAGCAAACAGGAUUAGAUACCCCUGUAGUC
RNAcentral lists this ribosomal RNA (465 nucleotides) under uncultured bacterium. RNAcentral's name for it is "partial 16S ribosomal RNA". It matches the Rfam family "Bacterial small subunit ribosomal RNA", at positions 338 to 795 of the family's 1533-position model. The record is from RNAcentral.